Molecule: ribosomal RNA, 391 nt
Filed under: uncultured bacterium
Lineage: Bacteria
Description: bacterial SSU rRNA
Rfam family: Bacterial small subunit ribosomal RNA
Source: RNAcentral
AUUGAACGCUGGCGGCAUGCUUUACACAUGCAAGUCGAGCGGCAGCGCGGGGGCAACCCUGGCGGCGAGCGGCGAACGGGUGAGUAAUGCAUCGGAACGUACCCUGGAGUGGGGGGAUAACGCCGCGAAAGCGGCGCUAAUACCGCAUAUGCUCUGAGGAGGAAAGUGGGGGACCGCAAGGCCUCACGCUCUGGGAGCGGCCGAUGUCCGAUUAGCUAGUUGGUGAGGUAAAGGCUUACCAAGGCGACGAUCGGUAGCUGGUCUGAGAGGAUGAUCAGCCACACUGGGACUGAGACACGGCCCAGACUCCUACGGGAGGCAGCAGUGGGGAAUUUUGGACAAUCGGGGCAACCCUGAUCCAGCCAUGCCGCGUGAGUGAAGAAGGCCUCGG